UGGGGAAUAUUGGACAAUGGGCGCAAGCCUGAUCCAGCCAUGCCGCGUGAGUGAUGAAGGCCUUAGGGUUGUAAAGCUCUUUCGCCGGUGAAGAUAAUGACGGUAACCGGAGAAGAAGCCCCGGCUAACUUCGUGCCAGCAGCCGCGGUAAUACGAAGGGGGCUAGCGUUGCUCGGAAUUACUGGGCGUAAAGCGCACGUAGGCGGUUUCUUAAGUCGGGGGUGAAAUCCUGGAGCUCAACUCCAGAACUGCCUUCGAUACUGGGAAACUUGAGUUCGGGAGAGNUGAGUGGAACGGCGAGUGUAGAGGUGAAAUUCGUAGAUAUUCGCAAGAACACCAGUGGCGAAGGCGGCUCACUGGCCCGAUACUGACGCUGAGGUGCGAAAGCGUGGGGAGCAAACA
Molecule: ribosomal RNA, 402 nt
Filed under: uncultured bacterium
Lineage: Bacteria
Description: bacterial SSU rRNA
Rfam family: Bacterial small subunit ribosomal RNA
Source: RNAcentral